GGCACUUUUUUUUUUUCCUAUCGUAAGAGCUCUCUGAAGUCUUGUUUGCAGAACUGUCUGCAAGGCUGCUUGUCACCUUCGAAUAUACUCCAUCAACAUGCUGCCACUUCAUCUUGUUUAGGCUCUUCGACUGCUUUAUAGAAGGACACUGAAGUCCACAUCUAUCUCCUUGAGACAGGCAAAGAAACAAAUCCUUUAUCCUGUCUCAAAAAGAGCUGACAAGCUUUUAGUAGUGUUUAUCUUCACUGAAGGGUGAUAACCUUGAAAAUGAAAGUGAAAAGAGACUGAUACAAUUAGGUAUGUAGUCUUCUCCAUACUGUAUUACAAUUGGUUUUCUUUUAUAGUUUAACAUAGUAUAACAUUCUUUUAUAGUUUUAUAUAAGUCGAAGUUUUCUGUUGUCCACACUGGUUUUUCUAAAACUAAAUUUAAAGUUACAGUUUAUUUACAAAAUAUCAGUGCAUCAUGUUGUGACUAUUUUGCAAAAAUGUAAUUUUCCUCUUAAGCCAGAAGGGGUUAAAAAUAUUUCUUUGAAAUGUUUUAUCCUACCAUUCUUCCCAUAUCAUCUAUGCCAUUUUUUUCUCUCCCUUGACAUUUGACUCCAUGUUAUGUCAUAUUCAGAGAGAUUUUUCUAAAAUAAAUUUCCCAGAUUACAGGCAAAUCUUAGAAUUCUAAUUAUUUACAUCUUAUAGAGUCAAGGACAGUAAAGGGUAGAUUUGACAUUUCAUUAAUAACUUGUGUAUUCAAAUUUCCAUUUGUGUUAAAUUGUGCCCACUCCCGAGGUUCCAACAAAUAUAGAUAUGCCUGGCAAGCUAGUAGCUUGGUUAUCCACAGGUCAUUUUGUGUGAACAACCAUGAGUCCCUUAGAAAAGAAUUCAUCCUGCUGUGAGUUGGCUGAAAGCAAAAAAUACAAAAAAGAAAAGAAAAGAAGAAAGGAAAAUAGCUCAUCCUAUCAGAACAAGAAGUCAGACACAAAGAUUUGGCCACUAGAGGAGAGUGGUGUCUCUGAGUCCAAUGUCAUGUCUGCUUUGUCCCCAUGCCAGCUCCACAAGUUUUCAUGUCUAAGUCACAGGGGGGAAAGAGUCCACGAGCAAAAAAUCUAAGUGUAACUCAAA
RNAcentral lists this long non-coding RNA (1113 nucleotides) under Homo sapiens (human). RNAcentral describes it as "long intergenic non-protein coding RNA 1825". Lineage: Eukaryota; Metazoa; Chordata; Mammalia; Primates; Hominidae. The record is from RNAcentral.